This 301-nucleotide unclassified non-coding RNA is filed under the name Zea mays. RNAcentral describes it as "misc RNA Zm00001eb083850". The record is from RNAcentral. Lineage: Eukaryota; Viridiplantae; Streptophyta; Magnoliopsida; Poales; Poaceae.
ACCCCCACCCAGCGACCCCGCCGUCGCCGGUGACCAGCCCCAACCCCAUCACAAGGCCGGCGACAAGGAAGCGGAUGUUGCCACCGCCGAAACUGAUGGGUACAAGGCGGGGUCGUCCUCAUCGCACCUGUCUCGACUGCUCCGGGAGUUAUCUCCUAUAUUGCAGUUAUCCAGAACCGCGUCGCCCCUCCAUUCAUCCUUGACAACGCUGCCUGUGUUGCUUUACGUGUUCAGGGCUUCAGGUUUGAGCAUUUUUUUCUUAAUUUUACACUCCAAUAUAAUGUUCAAUUGGAAAACGGUC